UGGGGAAUAUUGCACAAUGGGCGCAAGCCUGAUGCAGCCAUGCCGCGUGUAUGAAGAAGGCCUUCGGGUUGUAAAGUACUUUCAGCGGGGAGGAAGGGAGUAAAGUUAAUACCUUUGCUCAUUGACGUUACCCGCAGAAGAAGCACCGGCUAACUCCGUGCCAGCAGCCGCGGUAAUACGGAGGGUGCAAGCGUUAAUCGGAAUUACUGGGCGUAAAGCGCACGCAGGCGGUUUGUUAAGUCAGAUGUGAAAUCCCCGGGCUCAACCUGGGAACUGCAUCUGAUACUGGCAAGCUUGAGUCUCGGAGAGGGGGGUAGAAUUCCAGGUGUAGCGGUGAAAUGCGUAGAGAUCUGGAGGAAUACCGGUGGCGAAGGCGGACCCCUGGACGAAGACUGACGCUCAGGUGCGAAAGCGUGGGGUCCAAACAGG
RNAcentral lists this ribosomal RNA (429 nucleotides) under Chloroflexota bacterium. RNAcentral describes it as "Chloroflexi bacterium partial 16S ribosomal RNA". It matches the Rfam family "Bacterial small subunit ribosomal RNA", at positions 355 to 776 of the family's 1533-position model. Lineage: Bacteria; Bacillati; Chloroflexota. The record is from RNAcentral.